CUUAAAGGAAUUGACGGGGACCCGCACAAGCGGUGGAUGAUGUGGUUUAAUUCGAUGCAACGCGAAAAACCUUACCUACCCUUGACAUGCCAGGAACCCUGCAGAGAUGUGGGGGUGCUCGCAAGAGAGCCUGGACACAGGUGCUGCAUGGCUGUCGUCAGCUCGUGUCGUGAGAUGUUGGGUUAAGUCCCGCAACGAGCGCAACCCUUGCCAUUAGUUGCUACGAAAGGGCACUCUAAUGGGACUGCCGGUGACAAACCGGAGGAAGGUGGGGAUGACGUCAAGUCCUCAUGGCCCUUAUGGGUAGGGCUACACACGUCAUACAAUGGCCGGUACAGAGGGCUGCCAACCCGCGAGGGGGAGCCAAUCCCGUAAAACCGGUCGUAGUCCGGAUUGCAGUCUGCAACUCGACUGCAUGAAGUCGGAAUCGCUAGUAAUCGCGGAUCAGCAUGUCGCGGUGAAUACGUUCCCGGGUCUUGUACACACCGCCCGUCACACCAUGGGAGCGGGUUCUGCCA
RNAcentral lists this ribosomal RNA (518 nucleotides) under uncultured beta proteobacterium. Its description in RNAcentral is "bacterial SSU rRNA". It matches the Rfam family "Bacterial small subunit ribosomal RNA", at positions 900 to 1422 of the family's 1533-position model. The record is from RNAcentral. Lineage: Bacteria; Pseudomonadati; Pseudomonadota; Betaproteobacteria.